This 1172-nucleotide long non-coding RNA is filed under the name Mytilus galloprovincialis (Mediterranean mussel). The record is from RNAcentral. Lineage: Eukaryota; Metazoa; Mollusca; Bivalvia; Mytilida; Mytilidae.
GUCGUGUUUUUCUCCAACUGUCAAUGACUGGUUUGCACUAAAUCUAUCGUAUGUUGGUUGAGUGCUAGAUACAAGAUUUUUUAAACUAAUAGUUAUUGGCUUUGAGAUAGUUCAGUAACUGUGAUAACUCUCAGAUUUGUACUUCAAUCUUUUUGUUUUUUGUUCUUACCUUGGUAGAUGUAUUUCUCUGCUUCGAUCUGACGAAUUUAGCCUUUUCAUUAUGCCCCACCUAUAAUAGUAGAGGGGAAUUAUGUCUUCUGGUCUGUGCUUCCGUCUGUCCGUUUGUUAGUUCCGCUCCAGGUUAAACUUUUUGGUCAAGGUAGUUUUUUAAUGAAGUUGAAGUUCAAUCAACUUGAAACUUAGUACGUAUGUUCCCUAUGAUACCCUACCGUACAAUCACCACUUCAGGUGAGGGAUUGUGCCUGAUAUUCAUAUUCAUCUUUCAAUCAGUUUAAUUGAGGUCUGGAGCUGGCAUGUAAGUAAACUGCUAGUAGCGUGUUGUUAUUUAUGUAUUAUUGUCAUUUUAUUUCUUUUCUUUUGUUACAUCUUGACAUCGGACUUCUCUUGAACUGAAUUUUAAUGUGCGUAUUGUUAUGCGUUUACUUUUCUACUUUUGCUAGAGGUAUAGGGUUGAGAUCUCAUAAACAUGUUUAACCCCGCCACAUUAUUUAUGUAUGUGCCUGUCCUAAGUCAGGAGCCUGUAAUUCAGUGGUUGUCGUUUGUUUAUGUUACAUAUUUGUUUUUCGGUCAUUUUUUUUAUAUAAAUAAGGCCGUUAGUUUUCUCGUUUGAAUUGUUUUACAUCGUCUUAUCGGGGCCUUUUAUAGCUGACUAUGCGGUAUGGGCUUUGCUCAUUGUUGAAGGCCGUACGGUGACCUAUAGUUGUUAAUGUCUGUCAUUUUGGUCUCUUGUGGACAGUUGUCUCAUUGGCAAUCAUACCAUAUCUCCUUUUUUAUAUUAACCCCGCCGUAAUUUUGCGCCUAUCCCAAGUCGGGAGCCUCUGGCCUUUGUUAGUCUUGUUUGAUUUUUAAAUUUAGUUUCUUGUGUAUAAUUUGGAGUUUAAUAUGACGUCCAUUAUCACUGUACUAGUAUAAAAAAAUUUAAGGGGCCAGCUGAAUUAAUUAUUAGGAAAGGUAUCUUGGGAGUAUAGCAUAAACUUGCAAGUAUUAGUGAC